RNAcentral lists this ribosomal RNA (768 nucleotides) under bacterium enrichment culture clone WG_316. RNAcentral's name for it is "bacterial SSU rRNA". It matches the Rfam family "Bacterial small subunit ribosomal RNA", at positions 66 to 805 of the family's 1533-position model. The record is from RNAcentral.
ACGCUUCUUUUUCCACCGGAGCUUGCUCCACCGGAAAAAGAGGAGUGGCGAACGGGUGAGUAACACGUGGGUAACCUGCCCAUCAGAAGGGGAUAACACUUGGAAACAGGUGCUAAUACCGUAUAACAAUCGAAACCGCAUGGUUUUGAUUUGAAAGGCGCUUUCGGGUGUCGCUGAUGGAUGGACCCGCGGUGCAUUAGCUAGUUGGUGAGGUAACGGCUCACCAAGGCCACGAUGCAUAGCCGACCUGAGAGGGUGAUCGGCCACAUUGGGACUGAGACACGGCCCAAACUCCUACGGGAGGCAGCAGUAGGGAAUCUUCGGCAAUGGACGAAAGUCUGACCGAGCAACGCCGCGUGAGUGAAGAAGGUUUUCGGAUCGUAAAACUCUGUUGUUAGAGAAGAACAAGGAUGAGAGUAACUGUUCAUCCCUUGACGGUAUCUAACCAGAAAGCCACGGCUAACUACGUGCCAGCAGCCGCGGUAAUACGUAGGUGGCAAGCGUUGUCCGGAUUUAUUGGGCGUAAAGCGAGCGCAGGCGGUUUCUUAAGUCUGAUGUGAAAGCCCCCGGCUCAACCGGGGAGGGUCAUUGGAAACUGGGAGACUUGAGUGCAGAAGAGGAGAGUGGAAUUCCAUGUGUAGCGGUGAAAUGCGUAGAUAUAUGGAGGAACACCAGUGGCGAAGGCGGCUCUCUGGUCUGUAACUGACGCUGAGGCUCGAAAGCGUGGGGAGCAAACAGGAUUAGAUACCCUGGUAGUCCACGCCGUAA